This is a long non-coding RNA of Drosophila ananassae, 882 nucleotides long. RefSeq lists it as uncharacterized. The transcript is spliced from 2 exons. The record is from RefSeq and is a predicted model, not a curated record. NCBI's taxonomy places the organism in Eukaryota, Metazoa, Arthropoda, Insecta, Diptera, Drosophilidae.
CUUGAUGUUGUGAGGAACUUCGGAAACUGGCGUCGAAGGCGGGACACUUUCCACUUUCUUGCUGGUUAAGUUAUAGACUUUCAAGCAGUCUUCGGCAGCAAAGCAUAUUUUGAAACUCACCGAGAGCAGAAAGGAAAGGCAGACUAGGGAGUGGCGUGGAACAGCCAUCGUGGAUCACAACUAUUUCCAAACUAAAACCAAUGAGAACCAAUGGGUUUUUAUAUACUUGCAUUAGGUCUGAGGUUGAUUCCCUAAAGUGGAGCCUAAAAGUAUGUUGACAUUCAUCGAGACUUAUUUUAGAAAAAUUUAAAAGUAAAUAGUAGAAAAUCAUGAAUAGUAUUUGCUCCAAAAGAGCUAACUAGGCGUAUACUUAAUUUUAUCAUAUAUGCCAAGAAUAAGUCUGACAUUAUUUAUUAUUAAUUAUUUAAUGAUGAGGUCUAGGUCUAUGUCAAAGGUCAAGGAAACUUUGAUAUCCAACGAUUUAUUUGUCCCAAUAAUAAGCAAUUAAUUAAUUAAUUGAAUAAGCAAUCAAAACAACCUUAACAUUUACAUUUUGAAUGUUCUCCAUUUAUUUAUUGAGAUAGAAAUUAUACAAUGUUUUUGGCUUUCAUAAUCCGAGCAUUUUGUAACAAAAAAAAAUACAUGUAGCCUAUCAACUGUACUGGCUUUUAUCCAUACAAUGCGUAAUAUUAAUAUGUAUUUCAAUUUUAUUAAUAUAUUUAUUCAGUUUUUGCAUCUUCCGCCCAACAGGCACUCGCAAACUGCAUCGAAUAUCACGUUUCACAAAUGAUAUUUUCGACAAAAAAAAAAAAAAGAAUUAUAAUUAAGUGUUAUAAUAGAGUGAAUAUAUCGUCAUGUUUCACUAAUGUUUCUGGGGGUCCG